UUUCGCAACUUCUUGCAUAACCCUAAUUUGAUCCUCUAACUCAGCUAUCUUCGCUGCUUUAGCCAAGUCCUGAGUAACUGCUCCAGAUCUUGUCAUCUUGGCAGUUUCUGAAUCCACAAUUGGAAGAUCAAUUCCUCUCGCAACCUUGGCAGUUACCAGAUCUGCAAUUGGAAGAUCAAUCCCUCUUGUAGCCUAGCUCUGAUGCCAGAAUGUUAGAUAUCUGCCUGAGAUCACUCUGCUGCAGAGAACACAGCAGAAUCUGAAACAG
Molecule: unclassified non-coding RNA, 268 nt
Filed under: Hevea brasiliensis (rubber tree)
Lineage: Eukaryota; Viridiplantae; Streptophyta; Magnoliopsida; Malpighiales; Euphorbiaceae
Source: RNAcentral